Molecule: ribosomal RNA, 492 nt
Filed under: uncultured bacterium
Lineage: Bacteria
Description: partial 16S ribosomal RNA
Rfam family: Bacterial small subunit ribosomal RNA
Source: RNAcentral
AGUGAACGCUGGCGGUAUGCUUAACACAUGCAAGUCGAACGGUAGCACAGUGAGAGGUGGUUCUGACGGGCGGCGGGGGGCGUACGGGAUAGGAAUACGUCCGAAUCUAGGUGUUCGCUGGUGGUAACGGUAGGAAACUUACCCUAAUACCGCAUACUGAAUACGGGGGAAAGCAAGGGAUCUUCCGACUUUGCUCGACGGAAUGAGACGAUGUCGGAUGAGGUAGUUGGCGGGGUAAAGGCCCACCAAUGCAACGAGUCGUAGCGGGUCGGAGAGGACGACCAGCAACACGGGGACUGAUACACGGACCAGACUCCUACUGGAGGAAGCAGUGGGGAAGUUUGGACAAAGGGCGCAAGCCUGAUCCAGCAAUGCCGCGUGCAGGAAGAAGGCCUUCGGGUUGUAAACUGCUUUUGUACGGAACGAAACGGCUCUGGUUAAUACCCGGGGCUAAUGACGGUACCGUAAGAAUAAGCACCGGCUAACUACGUG